AACGAACGCUGGCGGCAGGCCUAACACAUGCAAGUCGAGCGAGGACUUCGGUCCUAGCGGCGGACGGGUGAGUAACGCGUGGGAACGUGCCCUUUGCUUCGGAAUAGCCCUGGGAAACUGGGAGUAAUACCGGAUGAGCCCUUUGGGGGAAAGAUUUAUCGGCGAAGGAUCGGCCCGCGUUGGAUUAGGUAGUUGGUGGGGUAAUGGCCUACCAAGCCGACGAUCCAUAGCUGGUUUGAGAGGAUGAUCAGCCACACUGGGACUGAGACACGGCCCAGACUCCUACGGGAGGCAGCAGUGGGGAAUCUUAGACAAUGGGGGAAACCCUGAUCUAGCCAUGCCGCGUGAGCGAUGAAGGCCUUAGGGUUGUAAAGCUCUUUCAGCUGGGAAGAUAAUGACGGUACCAGCAGAAGAGGCCCCGGCUAACUCCG
RNAcentral lists this ribosomal RNA (431 nucleotides) under uncultured bacterium. RNAcentral describes it as "partial 16S ribosomal RNA". It matches the Rfam family "Bacterial small subunit ribosomal RNA", at positions 29 to 505 of the family's 1533-position model. The record is from RNAcentral.